AGGAGUCCAUGUCCUCGGCUGGCGAGCCUGUCUCCAAAACAGGCUGUGAUGGGUUCGAUGCCCAUGACUCCUGCCA
Molecule: transfer RNA, 76 nt
Filed under: Paenibacillus sp. MMS18-CY102
Lineage: Bacteria; Bacillati; Bacillota; Bacilli; Caryophanales; Paenibacillaceae
Description: tRNA-Trp
Source: RNAcentral